This is a long non-coding RNA of Piliocolobus tephrosceles (Ugandan red Colobus), 1629 nucleotides long. The record is from Ensembl. Lineage: Eukaryota; Metazoa; Chordata; Mammalia; Primates; Cercopithecidae.
AGAUCAAGAAGGCAUUUAAAAUAGUGAGAUUUUCUUGGGUUUGUCUCUCCAGGAUUAGAAUCUGAUGGAUUGCCUACAACACACUUCUCCAGUUCUCCAGCCUCCUAGGGACCUGCAGAGGUCCCUCUAUCCCAGGACCUUGAGCUGCUCCACUCUAUACCGAAAUUUGCUAACGUUCUGUCCUGGAACAGAAGGAGAUGGAUUCUUCAGUUCAGGCUUUGACGUUUGUCUCUUCAGGACUCCAGGAAUUUCUUCCCGGUCUGACGCAGAGAAACUCGCCUAAGGACCAAGCAGAAAUAGGGACCUACACCCAAUUGGUUUAUUCAAAACCCUGGGUUAAAUCUAUUUGAAAUUUGAUAUUAAACCUUUGUCUCUUCUGGCCAUGUUUCAAAAAGGCAUCUUUACAGAAACUCUCAGGUUAUCUUCAUCCUAGAAGGAAAAAUGCCCACAGUGUACCUCCUAUAGUAAAUGCUUGGAAGAGAAUAUAAUGACAUCUCAUAAUACAACAGUCAUUUAAAGACCCAAAAUAGGCAUAUGCCCCAGUGUCAUAAUUACUGAGUCUCUCUAGGCAUUUACUUAUGAGCUAAGCUCAACGCAUGGAUUCAAAGUUCAUUUCAGGUCGCCUGUUUCAACUGCAGUAAAAAAGAUCUCUGUGAGGCCAUUUGGUACUUUUCCUUUGCAUUUCUCCUCCCUCAUCCAAAUAGGAAGAGAAGGAGUCAAGAUGAACACAAAAUUGGAGGCUUGGGAGAGAGUGAGAGAAUUAACAAGCUAAUCUUUCAAUAGGAUCCUUUGGGAUUCAGAAAACAGAAAAGAAAACGAAUUAGAGAUGCACGCACCUAAGGACAAGCCUGCAGAAGCCCCGAAAUAGGGUAUCCUCCGUGAUGCCUCCAAAUCCCCCAAGAGGCGACGCCCCACACAGGGCAAAAUGGUCUGGAGCCUGCGAGGUACCUUUCCUCCCUGGAUGCAUUCAGCCCUACCCCACUGGGCUCCGAGGUCAGGGAUCGCUGCGACCAAAAUCAGCCUCUGUGCUCCGAAGCCGCAAGGCUCAGCCCGGAUCCACUCGGGGAGAGGCAGGCCAGAGGGCGGCCUUGCAGCCUGGGAACCGUUUCCAGGGAGGAGAAGCUAGAGGAUACUGCAGAGAGUGCAUUUUUCCUCUCCAAGAGGAACUUUAGGGGGAGAAGAGACAAAAGAGGAGACGCCUAAAUCACCGAGAAAAGGAAAAAGGAGGGAAGAGAAACGUUAAAAGUUGGGGAAAAGGUGCUUUUUGGGAUCCGACAGGUUCCCGAAUUGUCGGAAGUCCAAUUCUCUCCAGGCUCCCAAAUUUCCCCUCUUCCUCUUGGAGCCUGCAAUCAGUAAAUUCGCCAAAAGAAAGAACGAAAGAUCCUCCUAAACCUGCCGGCGUGCCCCCACCCCAGGUCUGCAGCGGUUGAGGUGACUGCGGCGGUGUGGCCGGCGGCGCGUAAUGUAUGCUGCAGCGGCUCGGAGCCCCACGUAGGCCGGCGCUGCUGCCCCCGUCUGCUGACCUCUGCAUGAUCCCGGACUCUAUGAAUUAUUGAUGAGAUAUGAGCGUUGAUUUCCCCUUUCAGGAUGCAAACUCCAUUAUAUUGUUAAAAUGGCGAUUUAAUCGUU